Long non-coding RNA from Numida meleagris (helmeted guineafowl), 22959 nucleotides. RefSeq lists it as uncharacterized. Lineage: Eukaryota; Metazoa; Chordata; Aves; Galliformes; Numididae. The record is from RefSeq and is a predicted model, not a curated record. The transcript has 2 exons.
AUUACUGAUACAGUGAAAUUGCUACUUACAUGCAACACAACAGCACUAUGCUUCCCUGAGCUGCAUUGUAAUAAUGUCUUAUUGUAUGCAUGUGAUGUAGGGUGUGUUGCAGGUUAAAAUGUAAAUGGUUCCAGUGCACUUGGAUGAGCAUCACAUAUGGAAAUUUGCAUUGGCACAAUUAAGUUUUUGUUUGUUAUAGUCUUAAUGUUGCUAAGCUACAGAAGGAAAUGGAUCAUGCUGAGGAAAUCUACAAGUUGCUGACUGUUUGCACAGAAUCUUUUUAAAUGUUACACUAAUCGUAUGCUAUAGCUUAGCUUUUAUUUAGUGUAAAUAGAAUGGGUACAUUUUAAAUGCUUCCAUCUUGGUUUAGAAAUAUUCCUGUCUUUACUUGUUAUGAGAAUACUUGCACCUAAAAAUAGCAGAACAAACAGGCUUGGAUCAGACGCUUUGUCAAAGAAGUUUGGUUGGACAUGUACAGACGUGAAUACGAUCAACUCCUGUAUGGUGUGAAAGAACAAUUUGGGUUUUUUAAAAGAAUUACAGUUGCUUCCAUUCGUAUCUAAAUAAACAGGACAGCCCAAAUUCAAACCUGCAAAUAAACACAGGCUGAAAUACCUCAUGUUAAUAAUAUUGCCUCCUAAGGUGAAGUGCUUGGCUUCCUCCCCUCCAUGAAUUCCCAGGGCAGCCAUGAAUUAUUGGAGCUUGAAAUAUACACGUUAAGUGCAUAUGGUUUUAUAGGCUGACAAAAUGGCUAAUGCCAUUCAAAAGGAGGAAGGCGAAAUCUUCACCUCAAGUUGGAAUAGAAGCAAUCUGUGAAUUCUUCUUUCUAUCCAUAGCUUUCCCCAAGAACAUUUCAUGGUAUUUUUGUAAAACUACAAAAGAGGGCUCCAUUACCUUUUGUCUUUUAUUCUUGAAUUCACCAUAGAUUUAGUUUAUUUCUGUGAUAACAUAAGCCUGUAUUUGGUGCGAAACUACAAAAAAUGUCACAGGAAGGAAAUAAGGCCACAGCUUCGACCAUGUGUUUUCCCUUAAUCCUCUUGUUUUUAGUAGUUAAUGUAAAAAAAAAAAAAUCUUACUGUAGAUAGCAAAAUGUUUAAUAUAAUAGUAAAGUAAGUAUAAAUGUCUAAUAUUUACGAGUUGUAGUAAAAAUAUUUCACACAAUUGAUACAUGUAUUGUUUAUACUCCUGAAAAAAUGCAAGAUUUGAGUCUGAAAGUACCGUACGGGUUCUGAAACUGUCUGUACCCAGAUCAAUAUCCACAGCUUGCUUGCACUGCAGACGAGCGUCUUUGUAUUAUUCUGUUGUUUCAGCUUACUUGGCAGUGCCUUACUUCAGAGGACAAGGAGUGUUUUGAAGAGUAACAGACUUUUCACUCGCAUUUCCUAAAUGAAAGAUUAAUUCUAUAACAGUUCUAAACUAAUGAGUCAAGUCUAAUGAAGUAGAUACAGUUGUGUUAAAUUCUACAAAAGUAUCAUUAUCAAACUUCGAUCUUGUGUGUUGUAUAAAAUAUAUGGUUUUCAUUUCAGGGCAAAUUAGAGGAGAUAGUUAUAUGGUAUCUCUUACAGACCCAAUUAAAAUUACACUUAAUAUUAAAAUCAUUUAUUAAUUAUUUCUCAGCAAAUAAUUCAUCCUCAAAUGGAUCCAUUCUCCUUUAGCAGAAGAAAGCUACUACUUGGCAAAUAAGGACUUGAAGUAAACUCAGUAUUUACCAUGUAGCAAAAUAUUAUGAAUCAAUUAUUUAAGCCAUUGUUAUAUUUUAAGUCCAUGAGUGUAUCUUCUUAGAUGAUUUAUUUCAUGGAUGCUUAGACAUGCCAUUCAGUAUCACAUGGGAGUUGGAUCAGGAAUUAAUUUGUGGCUCUUAAAUAUUAGAUAGUUUUAAUUUCCUAGAAGGAAUAAGAACCCAUAUGUGCUAAUAAAUACAUAGGUGAGGAUUUCUUGACCCUAAGGAUGCAAAAAAUCAGUACACGGUUAGCUCAUGAGGCGCCUCAGUCAGAGCCAGUAAUGAACCCACUACACACACCACAUGGUUUCAAUUACAGCUCUAUGAGACUAGACGGCAUGGUGCCAGAAGCAAAAGAUUGAAACAAUUUAAAUGAUUCUCUUCUUCAUGGUUCAGAUACUUGAGCCUCUGCUUUCUGCUCCCUUUUUAAUGUUCUCUUUUAUCUGUGCAGAACUCAAACCCAGAAAGUAGGAAUUCAGAGUUUGAAUAUGUAGGAUGUCAUCUUGUUAAAGAGUGCUGUAGUAGAUCGAUUCAUUAUUUGUUGUGUAAUAGUUGCCUUCAGUCUGUAUGCUCAAGGUCAGCAAGAGAUUUUGGAAAAGGUCUAAUUUUUCCCAGUCAGCAUAAGAGAAGUUCUUUUAAUCAGUGCUUUGCAACAUCGAGGUUGUGGUCCCCUUUCCUGUGACGACCCAGCAGCUGAAGUGCUGGCAGCCGCAGCAGUGCCAGUUUGUUACCUCUCCACGGGUUGGGGGCUGCUGCUUGUGCCACCUGGGAGGAUGCUGCAGGGUCUGUUCAUGCUCAAGGCAUCUCACUGGCCAGUGCUCCUCUGAAAAUUGAAUCAGUUGUUGUUAGCAUGUGGGGGCCUCCUGACCAGGACUUGUUGGGUUCCUCUGCCGCCUCCUUACCCCCGCCAGCCUGCUGGCACAUGCACUGCAUUUGGAUUCCACUCAGUUUGGGAUGUUUCUGUUAUUAGUGCUCCACUUUAGUCAGUGCAGACUAUUUUAGUGAUGAAUUAUGGGAAAGCCUGGAUUUGCAAUAUCUUCUCAGAUUCUUUGCCUGCAACAAUGAGCUUUUUCAAGAUUAUGCAUCAUCUUCUUCUGGUGGGGAUCCUGUAGUUGCAUAGCAACUGAUAUUUUGGCAUUGCCAUACACUGUAUGAAAGAGGCUGUGUGCAGAGCCAUCUGUCCUGGGAUGCCCAACAAAGAAGGGGCAUCAUGGCAUUCAGGGUAUACAGAGCCAUCCUACAGACCUCUUCUGUGGGGAUUCGCCUUUACUAUAGAGCCAGUGGCCGAGGAAUGGAAAGAGAAUGCAUCACUUUGUCAAGUGCCAUUACGUGUUUUCUAUAGCCUUUGAGUUCACAUUUAAAGGAAGCAAUGCUUUCUGAUAUCCUCAGAAUUUUUUAUACAGGCUGUUUAGGCAUAAUAGAUUUCCAUUUGUAAAGCUUGUUAAGGUGGAAGAAUAAUAUAGUCAGGCUUCCAAUUGCAACUCAGCUGAAUUAUUGUUGUAAUGAUUGAAUGAAAUAGGAAUUGUAGGGUGUUUAGUAUUUUUCUUAAAAUGAGACCAUCUAUUGUAAUUGAAGGUAUGCAGAUGUGUGCAGAAGGUGUGUGCAGAAGGCCUUGAUGUGUAGGUUGCCAGAUUUUGCUUUAUAUAAAGCUUAUUUUCUUUGUACAGCUGGAGCAAAUGAAUCAGAAAAUAUUGAAAAGGUAAUCCCUUAUUUGUCUACCUACAUAAGCAUUUUACAGCAUUUUGCAUUAUAAAGUAAGUUAUGUUGAUGCUUACAAAAUCCAGGGAUGCAUACUUGCUUUUAAAAAGUCAUUUUAUGUUGCAUUUAAUCAAACUCGUUUCGUCGGAGUCGCUUAUGUUUAAUUUUCACUUUCACAAAGGACUACAUCAUUAAGGUCUUAUAGGAAUCAGUCAUAUUAUAGGAAUGGUCCUGAGUAGAGAGAUAAUAUAUAGAAAAGAAAAAAAAAAAAAUCAUAGAGUGACUGCUGUUUAAUGCUGGAGGCUGCCUAGGAGUUUCCAGGCAAACUAAUAGCUUGAGGAAACUCCUGUUGAAUGAAAAGAGAAAAAUCUCAGAAACCAUAAUCACCAUUCUUAGACUUCUUAUAAAGCAAUCACCAGAUUAUUAACAUGUAGACACUUGGAGAAUACAGAGUUGUGUAUCAAUUUGUGGCAAGAAUUCUAAAUUGCAGUGUCUUUUCUGCCUCUGUUACCUUCACUUGUCAAGUUAUGAAGUCUCUGGUAUUCCCUUACACUUAACCAUCACUAGCUUUUGCCUUCUGUAUGGAAUACAUGGAUUCCCAAUUUUUCUAAAGCAAUUAUCUUAAUACUUUCUAUUACUGCCAUUGCACUUGCCCUCUCCUAUUGGAAGAUUUGUCAGCUGUAGAUGUACAAUGUAUAUUAGAUGUUCUUGAGCUAACUUUUUGUGGCCCAUAUGCACCCUCAUGUAAGACGGCUCUUCUGUUGCUCCCAGAAAGUCUAUGUUUGUUAAUAUAUGUAUACACCUUUUUUUUGCAAUACCAGACUAUGACCUGACAUCUAAGUUCUGUCAUUCUUGAUUUCUGUUCUGUGUUUCUCAAAUUGGCAUAUAUCAUUUUCAAGUAGUGUAACUUCAAUUUUAUAAAAAAUGCUUGUAUCAUAAAAUGUGGGAUCAGCAUGAGAGCUCUGUUUCAUCUCUGCUAAUUUAAAUUAGGUCCAACUGUUUCUUCUUGAUCUUCUGUUAAACAUUGUCAGGUAACUGUGUGUUUCCUUUUUUCUGGGAGAUAGUUUUGACUUCUGAAAAAGGUUGAGAGUAAAUAACAAAAAAAAAUAAAAAAAAAAAAGUAAGGUGACCUGACUUGGGAGGCCCAUGGGGAAUUUGAAGUGGUUUUGGUCUUCAGGCAGAAGCCUUUAUGUCUACUGUAUGUCUCUGCUUACUUCGGUAACUUUCAUUUUGCAGUCUUCAUCACAGAAUUUUUUUUUUAUGUAUUUCUACAUAAAAUAUGUAAUUCUCAGCUUAUCUGUAACUUUGAAAAAAAUGACACUUAAAAAAAACUUUAAAAUAAAUCAUCAGUUUAAUUUCUACUAGAAACAUCAAGUUAAGAUAAAAUGGAUUCAUCUGUACUUCUGAAAACAAAAGAAGAGAAAGUAACAGAGAAACAAGUCUCUGUUCUGUGUGAAAGAGAAUACUUAAUCACACAUCAGCAGAGAAUUAAAAAACAUAGCAGUACAUGAAAGUAUUCUUUUUUCCUUCACUGAACAAAUUAAUUGCUAGCAAUGAGAAAACUACAAAGUGCUGUUUAAAAAUAAAAAAUACAUAUCUUAAGUUUAAUAAACAGGAGCUAGCGUAGCUAAAAUGAAACACCAAAAAUCAACUAGCAACUAGCUAUUGGUUUUGAGUCUCACCAGCUUGAAAUAAAUAUCAAACAGCUUUCUUGUAAAAACAAAUUUGUGAGGUAAUUCUACACACAUGAUUUUCUGAGACAGACUCGGGGUAAAAGCUUCAGUGUAAGUGUCAAAUGGACACUCUCUCCAGUUAAAUUCAUUUCAUAGCUGAAAUGUGGCCAGACAGAGACAUCAUAAACCGCUUGAAGAUACUCCUUGCAAUGUUCCUCAUAAUAUUAAUGUUAUUAUGGUUUUGUAAGAUAGGUAGGAAUAAUAUUAAGUACUCACCAGGAAGUAGCUUUUGUCUGUCACCAGAGAUGCUGACAAUAGUAGGAAAGAGGUAAAGGCAAGAAAUCAUUAUCAUGUGGGUGAGGAGGAUGCAGGAUAAUUACCACCUUAUCCCCUUAUACUGACCUACAAGAAACCAGUAGGUUGCAGAAAUGUAAGGGAUAUAAGCCUAUCUUGCACCUGGGGGUCUCUGAGAAAUUGCAACAUUUAUGCUUUGCAGUCAUCCUUCCUUUUUGGUGAUAGGUUGACCUUAAACAUGAUACUCAAAGAAUAAUCACUGAAGUAAAUAGAUAUGCUCAUUCAAAUCUAGCUUAAGUAAUAAUGAUAAUGCGUUCACAAAAUGCAUGACUGUGGACUGGGCUGAAAACUCCUUCAGGAAAAAAAGAAAAACCCUUCAGAAUUUCUGGUCAGCAUGUUGCCAAUGCAUGCUGAAUGCCUCCCACAUCCCGAGAGGGACAGUAAUGAGAGAGGAGGUGCAGCCAAGGCACGUCUGGGCUCAGCCGUGUUAAGUGAGUGCAUAAUAACCCAAGGGAGAAUCGUUACCAGCCAACACAAGCAGGAAGUUGUUCUGCCAUUUGUGGAGAUGAAAAUUGGUUGAGGAGUAAGAGUACCGAAAAAUUGUGGAAUUUGCCCUUAUUUCUGUAUCUGAUUGUAUUUAGGAGAUAUUUCUCAGUCAUAUUUGUCCACCGAUUUUUUUCAAAUUCUGUAAAAAAUUACCCUGUAAUGUCUGAGGAUACUUACGAAAGAAUUUGACUGUUGCAAAUUUUCCCUAAAACAUUUAAAAAAAAAAAAAAAGAGAGAGAGAGAAAUGCACAUUUUAUUCAGUUAACUGUGCAUGUGUGAAGUGCUGUGAUGUGAUACGCUACUGGUAUUUUCAGCAACAUAGGAAGGGGAUUUUUUCUGUCAUGCUACACACAGUUCAUUAGACUCUAAUGGAUCGCAACAGAUCAGAUCUCAUGACUAAAAUUUUGUGCCAAGUUAGUUUAUCUGUGAUGCCAGUUUAAUUGUCCUGAACCACCUCAAUGCUGAAAGAUAGUUUAUUAAAAAGAAAAAUGUAUGGCAAAAUGGAGCUUUGUGUGUUGUUCACAGUCUGGAUGAGUAAUGGGGACUCACGUUGCUAACUAUUGUAAUCUGUUUCUGUUCACUGAGCAACACCCAUUGGCUUUCUGAGGUGGUUUUUUGUGGUAUUCUGUCAAUAUUGUUUAUAGCAAAUCAGAAGUCUAUUGUAUGGUUUAGUUUCAAGUAUUUAUUUUAAGCUUCCAAUUGGGGUGGUUUUGACUUCUACUAGUGAGGGCUGGCAGCAAUUGAUGAAAAAAAGAUUAGAUUACUGCUUAAUGAUGACGUCUUCAAAAGCCCUGGAGUGACUGAGGGAGAUAAGUCCCGUGGAAAAUCAAUGAAACUUAGGCUCCAAAGACAGUUAGGUGAGUAGAAAAUGUUGCUCUAAUGACCUAAAUGUUCAUUCUCUCUCCUGCUAUCUCAGUGGUAAUAUACAAGAGAGAAUGGGUCUGUGUAAAAAUAUCUGGUAUCCCUGAACAUUUUUAGCCUCUUAAAAAUCUGAGUGCUAGAUCUUUGUCUGAUUACUAUCUCUUGUUCUACCUGACUUAAGCAGCAGUGAGAUACAUCAUUUUUUGGUGUAGAAACUGAAGAAAAAGUCUUUAAAGAAAGUAGUAGCUAUUCAUAUAGCAAAGAAAAAGGUCUUAAUUUAAACAAUGCACAUUAUUAGCUAGUUGUAUUCUUAAAGUUCUUGGUUUUGUAACCCCCAAAAGGUUGUUCUUUACUACUGAUGAUCAUUUCAUAAAUGUACUUGAUGUCUGUUCCCGUCAUACAAAGAGGGCACAGUUCUCUCUUGCAGCUUGCUAGGCAUCACAGAUUUCCAAUUCCUACGUGGUGGUUUGAAUUCAGCCCCCUGAAUCAUUUAUGUGGUUAUUAGAUUUCUAUCAUGUGAACCCUACUGGGAAUCUUGUUAUUCUCCUUUUCUGGCCUCUUAUGCAUUAAGAAGAUGUGUUUGCUGCUACUACUCCCAUGGCACAAGAAGGAAGGGGAAGAGGCUGGAUUUCAGUCCUGGUAAUGUUGUUUUUCAAGAGAGAAAUGAAGAAGAGUUUAGUCAUGUGCAAAGUUGUGUGUGUGGACAGCAAUGCAACAGACAUGUUGCCUUGAUAUUAAUCUAUCUCUACCUUAUAGCUGUCUGUUAAGCCAUAUUCCUCUGUUACAGAACAAAUAAUGGAUUAAAGGCUUGUUUUCUGCCCUAUUAUUAGGUGGUACAGCACAGGAACUGUUCCUACUCUUUCAUAUUCUGCUAAUUUCAACCUUUUUUCUUUUUUUUUCUUUAUAAAGAUCAUAUAUUUUUGUAACACAUUGAGUUCCUAUUAUAACAAGUAGAUAUGAGGGAGUACAUCAACCAGUGAAUUACCUGACACAUGGCUGUGAUACAGCUGACACACGAAAGAGAAAAUUAGUAUCAGAGAUGUGGGAGCAAGAGCUGUCCCUUUUAAAGAUAUGUAAGCCUUUUUGUUAGCAGGCAUUGUAGGAAUUAACGUGACUCAAUGACAAAGUGACACAUCAUUCAACUGAUGUUCUAACUUCAGACAAUCUCUCUGUUCAAUGCAAAAAACAAAGGAAAGUCUGGAGAAAUCUCAAAGAUCUGAUCACUAUUAAUGUAACUGAGAUGCUAUCUAUAGCCAAGGCAGGUGUGCACACAAUGGCUCCGUUUGGUGCAUUUCUGGAGCACACGAUGUUAGAAGUGAAGCUGUGGGAACUGGAUUUGUUCUUGCUUAAUAAGAGACCUUAUUUGUGUUCACAUCUACCCAACUGGGAGAGUGUGGGGAACAGACUUCUUCUCAGUGGAUACAGUUUUACAACUGUAAAAUAAAAGGCAGUGGAUGCAAACUGGAACAUGAGAAAUUUGAAUGUGACACCAAAAAAAACCCAAAGUUUUACCGUGAGCAUGGUCAAGUACUGGAACAGGUUGCCCGGAGAGGUACUUCGUACUGUCUGUCCUUGGCAACACUUGGAGCUUGGCUGGAUGAUGUCUCGAGCAUCCUGCUGCUUGUGGACCUCCUUUGAACAGCAGGUUGGACUAGAUGGUCUCUGGAGUUCUUUUCUAAUAAACAGGAUUUUAUGAAUGUUCGGUAUAUUCAUGUGUUUGAAGAAGUUAAUGUCUAGGUUUGCUUAUACUAGCUAGUGUAAUUUUUUGCUGCUUUGGAUUUAAAAAAAAACUAUAUUUGCACUUAGGCUUUGGGUUUUUCUUCCAUGGCAGUGGCACAGGAAAGCUCAGUGGAUAGCUGUAGUGCAAAUUCAUUGGUUUCUCAGUAGGGCUAGAAACGCAGCGGUGCACUAAAUGAGUUCCUAGGUCUGCUGAGUACUGGCAUUUGCACAAAUGAGAAAUGCUCAUUGUGGAUAGUAACUCCUGUUUUAAGGUAGUUACAUAGCAUCAAAUUUAAUAACUAACUUUUCUUCCCUUAGUAUCACUUUGCUGCCAUUAUUACAAACACUUGCAUUAUAGUCAGGAGAGGGAACAGAGAGACAGGAAGAGAUUUGCCCAAGACUGCAAGUGGCUGUCAUUGAGUCGGGUAAUAAAGCUGGGAGUCAUGAAUUCUGUGUGUACUGCUGCUCAGUCCAUCGCCUGUCCUUCAUUCAGACCAGCACGGAGACAGAACAAAACUACUCCAUUUUGUGAUGGUGCUUCAUAUAUUUUUAUGGUGAACAUUCUGAAAUAUGUUUCAAACAGUAGGGGAAAGUGUGCAUAGCUGCAUUGAUCAAACUAAAUGAUUUGAUGCAUGAAAGCAAAUCUUAUCUUAAUUGCAGCUUGCUUGUGAAGGAUGGAUGCUUGAAACUGAAUACUCAAUUGUCUGUUCAGCAGUUUCUUUUUGUCUAGUUUGGUACACUGACCUUACCUCUUGUCAUGAAUUCAGAUUCAGUUGGGAUAAGAAUUGUAGUGCAAGACUGCAAUGAAUUUCACCAUCUCCAUAUGUCAUUUUUACCUGCGUAUCAAAUCAUCUUGCUACCUGAGUAUUAACUGUGAUAAACUUGCUGUUAUUGUGUCAUUACACUUCUAUAAAGCUUUAAUCCAAUUGUAAUAAAGAUAUACAAGUAAAAAAAACAGGGAAGAAUUGGAAGAAAAUUGUAAGGGUUUGCUUUGUUGUUUUUUUGGUUUUUUUGUAGAAAUGGUUGAGUGUUUUCUUACAGGAUUAAGAAAUUAUCUUAAUGAUUUAAGUCUGUGGGGAAAUAUGAGGUCUGGGGGUAACUGUAGUCUCGUGUUUUAUUAAAAAAGGUUACUCUGUACAAAUACUUCUGGUAAAGCAGGGAUUCCUCUUAAACGAAGAAUAUAAAAGCUAACAUUUGUUGAGAUGUAAUGAUUCAUUUGAAUGACCAAUUUUCUUAAUGUUUUUUUUUUAAACUCUGAUCAUAAAAUGAUUAAUAGUUUAAUCCAGCCUGCUUUUAUAUUACAUUCUAAUUCUGCUUUAUAUAUUCUCCUAUGUCACAGAGCUGAAAGUUCAAAUUGGAUUCAUUUUCAUUACCAAGUUAGGGGUGGAGAGCUGUAAAUUAUUCACCUCCACUGAGGAGAACACAUUUAUAAAUCUGUUCGAAGGAAAGAAAGCCCAUUCACAUUCUGUUCACUCCUAUAAGCAAGAGACCUAUUUUUUUCAAAGUAAAUUCUUCUAAAAUGUCUUAAACGCUGCUUUUGCUGGAAAUACUAAAAACUAGUUUAAUUAAGACAAUCAGUACGGACGCUCUGUGUGUAUCAGUAGGUCCUGUGAUCAAUAACAUGAUCCUCUGAAAUGACAUGCCUUGGUUCUUCUACGUAAUGAUUGCUGGGGUUUGAGUUUGUUGUUCCUUUAACAUAGAUACAAAAAUAUUCUAUGAAUGCAAUAGGAGGUUGCUUUGAAAGUUCGUAAGACCUUGUAAGAAUAUCUGUGCGCGGAAAAGAAGAAUUAGAACCAGAGUUUCUGUGUGUUGACAUAAAUGAACCAUUUUUGUUUUGAAAGCCCUUUGGCUUAAACAGCCUGAAAAAAUGCUUGAAGUUAAUAGAACCUAUAACAGUUGUCAAAUUGUAGAAUAGCUUUUAAGUAUUUACCUUAUAUAGGAUGGAUCUUAUAAGAUCCAGAGUGAAAACCAAACACUGGGCUAUACGUUUUUGUUACUAAUUCAUGUUAACUUUUUUGGAAGAUAUAGCAAUAUUUUUUUUGUAUUCCUUUAGCUAUUAUUUUUUAUAUUCAGAAUGUCAUUUUGAAAUCCUGUGCUAGGAAUUUUCAUUUUAUAUAGGUCACUCUGAAAGUAACGCCUCCUAUUUAUUUCCAUGGAAAAUGCAACAAAUGCAAAGAACACAAUAACACUUUUUGAUAGAGCAAAUUCUCAGCUGCAAAAUGCUAUUCUUCAGCAAAGUCAGUAGCACUAGAUAUGUCUUUUCGCCAGCAAUGAGCAACAGCCAACAUGCCGUGCUAAUACUCAUACAGGACAGUGAGAUCAGUUAGGCCAAAUUCUUAGUUCAGAUAUUUAUUUAUAUUUUAAAUUUGGAAUAGUUCUGUUGACUUAAUGCUCAAAACUCAGAGUCAAAUUGAUCAGUUUCUCUCCAACUGUGUAGAGAAUAUAUUUAACAGCGAUAAGCUCUGAAAUAAAAACAAAACAGGCUUUAAUUUUUCCAAGAUAAGGUGAGCCACUCAAUCAUUCUUACACAUGAAAUAUUUUAAAUACCUGCCUGUUCAGCUUUUUGUGACUCACUUAACUGUUCUGUUCCAGCUUUGUAUAUAAAGAAUGACAUGUUCCCUGACAUCUAGGUUAAGGUGAAGCUAUUGUAUCUGUCAGUUAACCUCUUUUUUGUCAGCCUGCCAUGCUGAUAAUUUUCUGUAUGUGAUAGAGUCAUAACGUAUUCUCUGUCCUCUGGCAGAAUGAAGAGUUAGGUUUGCCAUUGAGUAUGAAGAUGUUUUCCCAUUUUCUCCACAAACAAAUAUGCUAGAAUGUGUCUGUUUUAUAAACCGUAUCCCAACACGUCCAAAGUAUGAAGCAUACUUUCUUCCCUUCUUAAAAGUGAUUUACUUUGUGCAAACUUGGUUAAUGAAGUACAGCAUAAACUACUUAUUUAGUAGUCAUUAUCAUGCAGUAUUUAUUAGUGACAAUGUUCCUGAGAAAGGAAUGACUUAAAUGCAUUGUAAGGUAUUUCAUAAAUAUAUAAGCUUGUGUCACUUUGUAUAUGUUUUCAACAUAUUUCAUUUCUUUACAGCUUGAAUAUUAAACUAGUGACAUUUAAAGUGUCUUCUCCCAUAGGUUGUGGCAUCUAGUAGGUUAUUUGGUUUAAGGGAAUUAUGCUUAAUCGCAGAUUUAUGUUCCACCCAGAGAUUCAAAUGCUAUUGAGCUCUGUGAUAUAUGAAUGAUUGCAGAUUUUCAAAAGAGGAUAGUUUUUGAAGGUGUCUGUGUGUUAAGCUAAAUUUUUGAAUUAAUAGGAACAUCAAAGAUGCAGAAUCUGGGUCAGAGAAAGACCUCAACAGUUUUGCUGUUUGAAGCCUUUCAUUCUUGACCUCCAGGACUGCAAUAAACUUUUAAAUAAUUUUCAAGGACUCUUGAGAUGCUCUGUCAAUUAAACUGCCAUGCAAGCCCUUUUCCUGUUGGCCUGUAGCCAUUAUUUAAUACACUUUUAAUGCAGUCAUUAAAAUUUUGUUUUAGAAGAUAUUGUAUGACACAUGAUUUUUUUUUUUUCAUCAAAUGGCUUUCGCUACAAAAAGCAAAAGUAGAAGGUAGGUAGAACAUUUAUUGAAAAAAAAAUAGUUGGAUUUUUUUGAGGAAGAUUUUGAGAGAAUCUUUCAAUCUGUUACACUAUGCAUUGAUCACUUUUGAUGAAAUUGUGAAUUGAGCUUCAUUGGACAAAUAAUGCUAAAAAAGAACCAGACAACCAAAUAAAAAACCUGCAUACACUGAAUACCAUUCUGGAAAUCCUGCCUAUCAUGCAAAACUGAACAUACAGUUUCUCCUUGUCAGGACUGUAGGAUGGCAGUAAUAGCAGCGAUGUCCGCUAACCACAGGAAUGCUCUGAGCUGUAAGACUGUGUACGUUUGUUCAGUGUCCUUCAGUGAGGUGUACUGAAAUACAUAGUACACAGUGCCACAAUACUGUGGGUAUUGCAUGAUGCAGUUUCUCAGCAGGAGCUGAUGUGCUGCUUGCACUCAAAAGCCUGUGGCAGUUCUCUAAGAUACUGUAAGUCUUCAGUUCACCUCUGUCAGUAAGGAUCACUUCAUCUGCAGUUCAGGUAGCGAUGACAUUAUAAAUAAGAGGAAAAGUUUGAUAAUGUUCCAGUCCCAUUACCUGUGUUCUUCUUUCAGCAAGAACUGAGUUUUCAUGUGACUCCAUGCUGCUUUGCCAGGAACCUCAAUCUAUACAUAGGUCCAUGGUAUGGUUUCAGAAAGAUUGAGGAGCACCUUGUGUCGUGUUUGAGAUGCAGGUUUCAGGAGCAAUGUUGUUGCUGUUCUCAUAUAUAUAUAUAUAUAUAUAUUUAUUGCUGUCAUUAAGUUGCUUUCAAAGUUUAGUCUUAAUUUGUGGCCAGAAUUUACAACAUAUGUGAAGGCAAGCCUUCAUAGCUAGAACUCUCCUUUAGUGUCUUCAUACCGUUUACCUCUUGAACGUAAUGCAAGCCACAGUUUCCAAACUGUAAAAUCAACAGAGCCUGUUUAAUGGUUCUGAAAUAGCAACAGCUGAUGUCAUUCAUUUAGGAACAGAAAUUUUACUUCCGUUUUAAGAUUCAGCAGAGUUUUAGGAAACCAUCAGCCCUGAACCCGAUUGCACUGAUCUCCUUAGGUUGGCUUCUGAGUUUGGGCCCCAUGUUUUCUUCCCUCUACCUUAUAUUUACAUUUUUUUGCCAAGUAUAGCAGGGAAUAUAUAGAGCCAAGGUACCAAGAUUUGUGUUAUACUGUAGUGCAUUCCUUUCUCCCUUGUAUACACAAGGGCAGAUGCUUAGAGCUUACCUCCUGGAAUAAGUUUAGCCCUCUUCAGUCAUUUGCUACACUGCAGAAGAUCUUCGUAAUACCACAUACUCCAGAAUGAUAUAUUUUUUAUUUGUUUGCUGCUCAGUCAAUCAAUUGCUUGAUUUUCAAAGAAGCGGGAGUAUGAAGAAACGUUACAUUGUCCAUGUUUAUAUAUUUAUUACUUGGGGCAUUAAUACCUUCAUUUAGUCUAGUUCACAGCAGCCUGUCUCUCCAUGAAGUUGUCUUUCCAUAAGCGAUUAGGUUCUGCUGCUUAUUGCAUCUUGAAAAGUGUGAUAUAAAUUCAAGUCAGGGACAUGGUACUCUAGUUAAGGGACUGAGUGGAUCAUAAAGAAAAAUGAGAGGUGUAGCAAAUGUGUUUCCAAUCUCUGUAGUACAUAUAAUAGAAGGUUUUAUUCUACAAUUGUCAGAGAGGAUCUCAUUAGAGUUCAGACUUUCCUGUUCCUGAAAAAGUUCUCAUGUUGGGUACUUUAAAGGAAAGAGUUCACAGAGUUAAGAUUUAAGGGCAUAGGCUCCCUUCUAUUACAGCGAACUGUGAUCACAAUAGACUGAAAAGUUCGUAAGCUAUUUUGAAGACCGGAGUAAUAUGUACAAUUUUCUUUAUUCAGAAGCUCCUUCAUGAUGCAAGUGCACCUGCCGAGCUGCAGAAGGAAAGGAAUUUUCCAUUCUGUUGUCCUCCACCAGUCUCCAAACGUAGCUGCCUAAAAAUAAUGGACUGGAUCAACUUGAACAGAUCUUUUUUAAGAAACCUAUCCAGGACAGGCUUAGGAAUUUAGGAGCAUGAAAGCCUCAAAUGACUAAGUACGAGUUUUGAGUAAUCCAGUUGGAGGAAGUCUUAGCUGUGGUGGGUGAGGUGUCCAAAGCUGUCUGUUAAUAACUGUCAAAACUCGUGCUCUGUCUCAGAGCCCCUGUCCUGCUGCUGCAGGGAAAUUACACUCAUCUCCAUGCCACAGCCUUCCUGUGGUUUUGCAAGCUUGUGCCUUUUGUCUGUACUGACAGUACUAGAGAAGAUAUUGCUAUGUACUUUAGGGGAAAAAAAAAAGCAACAAAACUAGCAGGAAAACCUGAAAAAUCUGUGUCUGCAUCUCUAAUUCCAGUUGUCAGCCUCAGAAGAAAAUUAAAUUAUUUAAAAGUAAGGAAAACAAAGUAUACUUAAAGCAGAGUCCAUUUGCUACCAGAGGAGGUGGUGUGGGAAAUGAUGAUGAUAUUCAGAAAAAGGCUGUUGAGUUGUUGUUCAAGAAUUGUACCUUUGCAUCAUCUCCAAGCAGUUUUUCAAAAAGAAACAGAUGCCCCCAAACAUUACAGGAUUGAUUCCUUAAAAUAGCAUUUUGAAAUGCAAAUAAGUCAAUAAAUAGAUAUGUAAAUCAGGAAAAGAGAACGAUGGCACAGGCUUUGGUUGGAACAGCUUCUAACUUCGGAUAUUAUAUGCUUCAAAAUUAGUCAACAUAGCAUACUUUUUUAUUAUUGUUAUUAUUUUUAGUUUCCCUUUCUCUUGUGUUGACAUUUUGGGGUGGUUUGUUCAUGACACUUUUUUUCUUCCAUUUUUUGAAAAGCCCCGAACUUGCUUAUAAAAAACCUCAUGAUAUAUUUGCAAUAUUCAGAAUUACUCAAGCUAUCUACUUGUCAUGAAGCUGGCUCUCCAUCCCCUGAGGGGUGCAGGUUUGUCACAGAGGGAGGAUGCUUUUUGCUGGAGCUGGUAUCUGGAGAGAAGCAGUUCCCAGGAGCUGGCAGGCAGCUUGGGCAGCAGCGUGCUGCAGCCUCCUUGGUUUAGAUCAUAGCACAGCAAAACUGUGGAAAGCUGGCCCUUUCCUUUUGCCCAUAAAAUCUGUAAAAUGUCCUUUUUCCCCCAAAUUGUAAGCAGUCUUUAUCAGUAUGGUAUUUCGUUUUCUAAAUUGAAAAUUGAAACAAUAUUUUUCUGAUUUGCAUUUAAAAUGAAAUAUUCCUGAAUUGUUCUUUUAGACCUUACAUGUAUUCCUUGUGAAUUUGGUAAACUUCUGCAAGAGAUGGAAAUUAAACAAACAAACAAAAAACCUUGAAAUGGGUCAGAGGAGAGGGUUGGUGGAAAGGCCCAGCUUCUGGAGAAAUUCGCUCCAGCGUGACACAGCAAACACUUAGCAUAUGUUUGACUGUAAAGAAUAUUUUGAUAGACUGGUAGAUGCAUUUACUUUAAUUCUCAGAUGCGUAUCAUAUAUAGCCAGUGGGAGAAUAAUCUUUGAAAAAUCUGAUGCUUUCUAAACUCAAAUAUCGAAAUUUGAAAUGUACUAACAACACAUUAGAGAAAAUCAUGGAAGCUUUUUGUGGUAGAUUGGGUCUUCCUGUUUUAUAACUUCUGGGCUUGAUUACUAAAUGUUUUUUAGGCUUCUAGUGAUAUAUCUAAUCAUUUACUUUGAGAUCUCUUAAAUAGUCCUUCUCACUGCAGAAUUAAUAUCUAUGAAGCCAUUAUAUCCAAGAUUUCUGAAUUUCUGAAAGUCUAGUUUUAUUUUUUUGCUUGUGUUUUUAAGUUACAAUUUAAUGACUUAAUAACUUCUAAGACAGCAACAAAAUACCACUUAUUGGAGAAAUGAACUAAUCUUAAUUGUUUUCUGGUUGUAGCCACUGAGAUUAUUUUUCUUGGAUAUGAAAAAUAAUAUGAAAUAUGACAAGCUUAACUUGUGUUAGAAAGCAGAUAAUUGCUGCUGCCUUCUACAUGGCAUGAAAGUUGCAGGUCUGGGCUGGAGUGUAGCUCUCCACUUCUAAUAAACAUGACAGCGUACUAGGAUUUGUGGCUUUUUAUGCUCAUGGGUGAGACUGAUGGUUCCAUAAACUGGAUAGCUCGUCUGAGACAGAUUCCCAUGUAAAAUAUAUGCGUAUAUGUCAGUUGUACAUAUAGACAGAUGAUUAGAAGAUCUUCCUUUCUCCACAUUUCCAAUACUGCCAAUUACUCUAAGUGUAUCCUUUUGGCUAAGGAAAUGAAGUAUCCAAACACUCUUGUAAGCAUUGUAGUGGUCAGCAAGUGUCAAAUUCAUUGCUAUUGGAAAUUACUUCUGUUGGUAAUUACUAAACGCAGAGAGAAGAGCCUGAACUGGAACCAAGAUUGACAUUUGGACUUAAUAAUAUAAUGAGGCUUUAAUAAGCUUGUAAUAGGCAGCCUCGCAAAAUGAAAUGAGCAAAGAUUACAAACACAUACAUCAGUUCCCUGGAUCUUAAAUACAUAAAUUGUAUUAAUCUCUAUUGAUAAAAAUUAAUUGCUUAUUUUAUAUGGCCCAGAUGUAAUUAUAGAUCAAGAUAAUAUUUCUUAAUAGGCAUUUUAUAAAAAGGUCUACAGUAUGAGCUUUUAAUUAUUAUUUUUUAGUAAUGCUUGAUUUCUUCUGGGCAACAGUCAAGUCUUCCAAGUCUUGUCUACUUCGUAAGUGUUUGCUUUAUCUGGAUGACCACUGGCAGCACUACGGAUAGGCUCCUUCCCUAAGCUUAGCUCUUUUUACACACACACAAAAAACAAAUUAAUAUCAGCGUUUUGCAUUUAUACCAAACAGGUCUAAGCAAAACAAGCAGAUGUUGUAUAUGGAUCAUUGAAGGUCCUUUUUCCUCUUUGUUGCUCAGUUUUCUCUGAAGUCACUCUUUAUACUUCUUCUCUGAUUGUCUGAGUAUUAUAAGCUUUCUACUGAAAUAGGUUCUAAAGAUCUUUUGUAGAAGAGAAUUUUGGAAGAAAAAGAAGAAAAAAGAUCACACCAAAUACUAAGUACUAUACUGGUCUUGAAAAAAAACGUUGUGAACCUUAACCUCAAUGCACAUAGCUUGCAAUAUAUGCAAGCGAUUGAGGUGAGGUACUAUUUUUUUUUUUUCUUCAUUAGGAUUUUUUUGAAAUGUUUUGGCAAUAUGUACUGUAUGUGUAACACUCAUUCUUGAGUUUAGUUUUCCUGGCUAAUUUAUGAGGGCUACUGAAAAUAAUGCCUCCUAUUUUUUUCAUUGGCCCACGAUGUCAGAGGCAGAUGUUGGUGGGAGCAGAGGCUGAACCUUCCCACCAAUAUCCCAUUACUUUUUGUUGCCAUACAAAAUUGAUGUAAAAGGGCCAUCUUCAUAGACACACAUCUACCUGAUGGUCAUAUUAAGGUGAUGUCUUUGCUCUAAAGCAGUAAAGGUGUGCAGCAAGGAAAAACUAAGAAUUUUGAACGUGACCAAUAUUUUAAAUUUGCAGAAUUAAUGUAUAUUUGCUUUUUAUCAACUCUUGUCAUACUUCUCUGACUUCAUCAAGUAAAUUAAGAGGCAUCUCCCAGGGAAAAGAAAAGCUUAUGAAAAAAGAAAUGAUGUAAAUUUUUCUAGUGAAAGAAGAGAAAUUAUAAAUCACUGUUUUCAGGGGCUUAUUGCUGGUUUUUAUUUGCUUAUACAUGCAGCUAUUUUUUAUUAAUGUUGAAACCAGCAGCCUCUAGCGUGAUAAAGCUGACUUGAUGGAUGGGAAGUAAAAGCAGUGACCACCAAAUGGGAAGAUGGACAUAUUUUAAUGAGGUUGGGAAUGUAUAAUACUGCAUAUAUUGUUGGCUCUGGUCACAAAUACAUCUCCUGUUGCUGUUCUCUCUGUUUUGUUUUUGUUGAAAACUCGGCAUUGUUUCUUCUCAUUAACAUAAGGUAACUGGGAUAAGUUUCAUAUUACCAUUCACCAUUCCCACUUGACUUGACAUUUUCGUAGUUCAGAUGAGGCUCUAAUAACCUUUCUAAGCUCUAAUGAUGUCCGUUCAAUAAAUGAGAUUUGAGCAAUGCUACCAUGGUAAAUAGUGUACUUGUUCCUCAUUACAAAAAAAAAGAAGUUGCUAUCAGAAUGGAUAUUUUGCAUUUUAAGGAAAAAAAAAACCAACAAAAAAUAGAAUUAUUGGUAACAAGCACGGUUGCCUUGAUAGUUUUUUUGAACUUGACUGUUUUGUUCUGCACUGCUAUUUGCUCCUUUGUCUUAAAGCAAUAUUUAUCCAGCAAAUUUGCAAACAUAUCGUAGUUUCCUGUUACAUUCUUAUUUUGCAGAAUAAGAAAAUGGUGUCAGGAGUUUUUUUUGCAUGAGCUGGGCAUUGCAGGAAGGAUGGUUAGCCAUGCUUACAUGCUGCAAGUGUUCCUCUUAUGGGCCACAGCUGAUGACACACAUCUACUCUAAGAGUAUAAAUAGUGAAAAAAAAAAGGAAAGGGGAGGGAGAAUAAAUGGAAAACUCCCACUGGCCAGCUGUGGGAGGGCUGGGGCUCCCGGAUGAGUCUCACCAGUGCUGCAGCUCCCUGAGUGCUCUGGGAUCCUCCUUCAGCUGGAGGUGACCCUGGGCUGCUGAGCUUCAUGCGUGCUUCACGCCAGGUCAUGCUUAUCAGCUACUUACAUGGCUAUUAGCUACCUUGUAAUUAAUUAAGCCCUGUUUUCCUCUAGUACGAAGAAAAAGCAACAAGGGGAGGGGGCCGUGGGAAUAAUAGGGGGAACAUUGGCAUGGGAGCAGGGGAAACCUCCGGCUGAGGUGUAGGGCCCUUAGCAUUCCUGAGACAUUGAAUCCUCUGUAAAAAGAGAUAAACAGUUAGAAAAGCCAUGGCAGGCAAAAUAGUCUGAGGGAAAAUAGAGUAGUCCUUGAGAACUUUUUUUAGUAGUUUUUUUUUCUUUGGCUUCAAUCCUUUUUCCAUGCUUUACUAAAUGAUGGCUUGAGGAAAAAGAGCAAAAGAUAUUUUUGCUGCACAACUAAAUGUGGGAAGAAUCUAAAUGGUGAAGAAUACUCCUGGGGAGAAAAUGAGAGAGUACAUGCUCCAUCUGUGAGGAUUUUCCUGUUUGUUAGCACUCUCUUGGGCCUUUUCAUUUCUAAUGUUCUGUGCUGGUAAUCUGGUAACUUUUUGCAAAUCAUUCGGUUGAAAGUGAAAGAACCAUGGUACCAAACAGUGAGUAUCAGUGCUGAGCAUGCUGGUAACCUUUAUGGAUUCUGGAAAAGAGUAGCUGAGUGAAAACACCCUGGUGAGUGUAGACCUUCUGCAUACAUUUGUCUGCACAUGGAGAUCUUGCUUCCAUGGUUCUGUUUACCCCUGGUGCGGUUUGGCCCAGCAGCAGCUCAGCACCACGUGGCCAUUUGCUCACUCCCCCCUCCCAGUGAAAUGGGGAAAAGAAUCAGGAAAAAGAAUGAGAUAAAAACUAAGACAGAAAAGGAAGUGAGAAAUAUUAGUAAUGGAUAAUAUAUAUAUAUGUACACACGCAUGUGUGCGUGUAUAUAUACAUAACAAAUGACACAAAAGGAAUUGAUCGCCACCUGCCCACUGAUGCCCAAGCCUGCCCAUUGGUCCCCAAGCAGUGUUGCCCCCUGGCCAACUCUCCUUGAUUUUUUUGUUUUCUUACAUGAUGUCAUGGAAAAUCCCUUUGGCCAGUUUGAGUCAGCUGCCCCGGUUCUGUCCCCUCCCAUCUCCUUGUGCUCCUCAGCCCUCACUGGUAGGGCAGUAUGAGAAGCUGAAGCUUCCUUGGCCUUGUGCAGAACUGCUCAGCAACAACUAAAACAAUCGCUGUAUUCUCAACAUUGUUUUCCUUCUAAAGCCAAAGCAUACCAUCACAGGAGACACUAUGAAGAAAAUAAAGUCUGUCCCAGCAGAAAGCAGGACAACACCCUAGAGGCAGAGUUUACUCAUCUAUAUAAUGAUGUGAGUAAACAAACGAGGUCUUUUCUCAGCAGAAUCAAUGCCACGAAUAGGCCAGGUGAAAUAAGAGCUCCCCAUCUGAUCAAGAGCUUCAGCUUACGGAGAACCUGGCAAGGAAACCUUAUGUUGCUACUGAGAGUUGCAGGAUAUGGGGAAGACCCUAUUCCAGUCUCUUGACUGUAUGGAUGUAAGCAGGAGAGGCAUUAUGUGGGGUGAGCCUGAACAUGUUACCCUUUCUAAUUACAGUAGCAUCCUGUGAAUUUUAGUGUACUGAAUUAAAUUGGACUUGAAUGGCUGAUUGGAUUGUAUUGGGAUACCAGUUGGCACCUAGCAAUUUCAGCAUCUCUAAGAGCAUGGCAGUGUUAAGACAGAACUAAGCAGUAUUUCCUUGCAAAGACAGAUUCAGAGAUAAUUUAUGUGUUUGUUUUAUGGAAAGAACAAAGCAUUUCUAACAGUCAGUGAAUUAGUAUCUUCUGUAGAACACAACUGUGGUUUACAUCCUCUGGCUGAGUAUGGCAGCAGCUUCUCCCGCUGAUAUUUAUAUGUUAAUAAAAUAGCAAAAUAAUAAAACAAAAACAAGGGUGUGUUUUUAACUUAUAUUGCUCAUAUUAGAUCCUGCUUACAGACAGCUACUGCUUUUUUCCCCGUCCAGCUUUAUACACUGAAAAAAUAGUUAUAAAAUAGUAAGAAAGCUUCCUUAAAUUUGGUUUUCUGUAAGUUAUGUUCACACUUUUAAAAAAUAGUGUGUAAUUUCUUAAUCUGUUUUCCCUGCCAAACUGGUUGUCUUAUUCAACAAUAAAUUGAAUGCAAAGCUUCCCCCAGGCAGAGACAGAAUACCAACCCCUGAAUGUCUGGCAGCUUAAUUGACAUGUGGUGGUAGCCUUAGGCAGAAGUUAAUUUCUACCCUGUUUAUAUACACACAUAUACUUUUCAUAAAGCAUGCAGGCAGUAGUGCAGAUAAAUUAAGUCUAAUUCAUGCCGUAGUUCGCAGGUAUACACUUGCUGAAAUGACAUGAAGCCAUUUGCUUUUAUGAGUGAAGGAGUUCCUCACAAUUAACAAAUGUCUCAGCCUUCUAGGAACAGUAUGUUUCCAAGCACAAGGUUUUCUGGGUGUUAUUUUUCUUCAGUUGCCACCCAGUGAAUGCAGCAAUCUCUAAAAGUAAAACCAAGGGCUUCAGCCCUAGUUCCUGGAAGAUGUCCCAGCGCCCUGAAAGCGGCCGUUCAUGACGCAGGUUCCCAGGCAGCCUGGUCGUGCACGUGUACCCUUCAUUCGUGGAAGUGCUGUGUGUGCCUAACUCGCAGUCAGUUAAGUGCCAGGCCUCCUUCGCAGUGUGCAACUCAUGCUCCACUGGGUGUCAGGUAAAUUGAAGUCAGUGAACGAAGUCUAAGCUCCGGCAGCCAAACGUCUAACUUUGAGAAGGAAUGUUUCUUCUCAGUAAAUUGAAGUUUUUACCAGCUGUGGAGCUGGCCCAUUUCUCUUACUCUACCGGUCCUUCAUAUAUAUCAUAAUGAAAGGUCCUGGCUUUAUAAGGCUAAUGUAUUAGAGCUAUUCAAUUAUACCUAUCAGUGCUAUAGGCAGAGAAAUUAUUUAUGAAGUUAAUGAUCUGAAGUGCACCAUUUGAAAUGGAUAUAUAUGUUCAUAAAAUGAGUAUCAUUCACCCUGGUAGGAAAGAGUCUAUAAAUCAAAGUUCAGAAUGUAGUUUCUGUAGUCAGUGGGAAUCCAUGUGAUUCUGAGUAUGGGAACAACUGGAUUUAUUAAAAAAAGUGUGUGUAUUUUUAUAUUUAAGUAUUUCAAUGUACGUAGCUUUGAAUAUCACAUUUCUAGGUGACAAGGAAGCAACCGGUUUGAAUUACCCUGGUUCUUAAAGCGAACUUAUCCUUUUUUUCUUUGAUUUCACAAUACAUAGAGUCUUGUUUUAAUUCUGAGUGAAAAAACUGGUUGGAUGAUGCAAAUCACCAGCUACAAUAGAAGUCAUCAUAGGGUCUAGGCUUUUCUGAACUAUUCAGGAAUUACAGAAGGCUGGCAUUAGAGUAACUCCACAGGAGCAUUACCUUUACACAGAUACAAGUUGAAAAUCUUCAUGAUCAGAGAGUCAAGAGCAGCAGCUAAUUGUGAGCUACUUGCUUGUAGGUAGCAUGGUGGGAAGUGAGGGUGUGCUUGAGGCACGGCUGGCUGCUGCCGGGUGGUUGGAGAGCUCCUGCUGAAGUCAGUGGGCCAGGGGUGGUUCCGUCUGCAGGGUCAGGAUCUCAGGUAGGAAUCACUAGGAGCUCUCCUUUAGUUCUUGCUUUGUGCAGUACACAUACCGUGAUUCUCAUAAUAGUUAUCAGCAAAGCAUGGACCAGUUCUGCUCACAGACAGAACACCAAACUAUUCUCUGAUGGUGGCAUUCAAAGAAAGAAGUUUGACAGUUAUCUGCAAGUGGUGUGGUGGUGUACCCAUGUUAUGAAGUCUCACUAUAUUUAGCUCUUUUCUAUGCUCAAAUAUGUCAAGCAGGGUGGUACAAACAGGUUACUCUCCUGAGUUUGUGUUGCCCCUGCAUUUUGACUGUUCAUUGCUGGUGCUUUUCAUCAAGGAAAUGUGUCAGCAGCGCGUGAGGUACCGUGUUAGAUGUAUGGAAACUACCCACAGCAAAUCACCUGCAGGCAAUCUGCAAAACCCUUCUGUGCUCCACUGCUAAAAUUAAGUUUAUGGAUAAUUUAUCACCUACUUGUCUCUUGAAUAAAUUACACAUACAAAUGAAGACAGAAAAACUGUAACAAGUGCUUUUGACUGGCAAAUACAAAUGUGAGAAUCUCUUAUCAAAUAUCUAGCAGAGUUCUUAUCAAAUAUCUAACAGACUUCUAUUUAGCAGUUGGUGAUUGUGAACAAGUGAUUCCUGCUUGUAGCUAUUGUUUUUGCAGUACAAAUAUUAAAUGUUUUUUCACUCCCGUGGUAAAUUAGAAAUUAUCUAUUGUAUUUGACAUGUCAAAACAAGCUGAUUUAUCAAAUAAAAUAAAACUUGGAAUUCCAUCUCAA